RNAcentral lists this non-coding RNA (152 nucleotides) under human gut metagenome. RNAcentral also lists the same sequence under 1 other name. The record is from RNAcentral.
GGAACUUAGAAGUUCUUAAUGUUCUGUUCAUGCUCAGCAAUGUUUGAACACGAUGUUCAAACAAGCCGCCACUGAGCCACGGAUGGCGAAUUGGCGGCGGUUGCGUUCGGUAUCAUGGUGUAAAUCAGAACAUUUAGAACUUCUUAGUUUCA